RNAcentral lists this ribosomal RNA (448 nucleotides) under uncultured bacterium. RNAcentral's name for it is "bacterial SSU rRNA". It matches the Rfam family "Bacterial small subunit ribosomal RNA", at positions 29 to 524 of the family's 1533-position model. The record is from RNAcentral.
AACGAACGCUGGCGGCAGGCCUAACACAUGCAAGUCGAACGCUCGUAGCAAUACGGGAGUGGCAGACGGGUGAGUAACACGUGGGAACCUUCCCUAUGGUUCGGAAUAGCUCAGGGAAACUUGGGGUAAUACCGGAUAAGCCCUUCGGGGAAAGAUUAUCGCCAUUGGAUGGGCCCGCGUCGGAUUAGCUAGUUGGUGAGGUAACGGCUCACCAAGGCAACGAUCCGUAGCUGGUCUGAGAGGAUGAUCAGCCACACUGGGACUGAGACACGGCCCAGACUCCUACGGGAGGCAGCAGUGGGGAAUAUUGGACAAUGGGCGCAAGCCUGAUCCAGCCAUGCCGCGUGAGUGACGAAGGUCUUCGGAUUGUAAAACUCUUUUGGCGGGGACGAUAAUGACGGUACCGCAGAAUAAGCCCCGCUAACUUCGUGCCAGCCGCCGCGGUAAG